GCGCCCAUAGCUCAGUUGGUAGAGCAGCUCCCUUUUAAGGAGAUGGUCGGGGGUCCGAAUCCCUCUGGGCGCACCA
This 76-nucleotide transfer RNA is filed under the name Parcubacteria group bacterium. RNAcentral describes it as "tRNA-Lys". It matches the Rfam family "tRNA". From Rfam's summary of the family: Transfer RNA (tRNA) molecules are approximately 80 nucleotides in length. The record is from RNAcentral.